This 253-nucleotide ribosomal RNA is filed under the name uncultured bacterium. RNAcentral describes it as "partial 16S ribosomal RNA". It matches the Rfam family "Bacterial small subunit ribosomal RNA", at positions 524 to 776 of the family's 1533-position model. The record is from RNAcentral.
UACGUAGGGUGCAAGCGUUGUCCGGAAUUAUUGGGCGUAAAGAGCUCGUAGGCGGUCUGUUGCGUCGGCUGUGAAAACCCGGGGCUCAACCCCGGGCCUGCAGCCGAUACGGGCAGACUAGAGUUUGGCAGGGGAGACUGGAAUUCCUGGUGUAGCGGUGAAAUGCGCAGAUAUCAGGAGGAACACCGGUGGCGAAGGCGGGUCUCUGGGCCGAUACUGACGCUGAGGAGCGAAAGCGUGGGGAGCAAACAGG